RNAcentral lists this ribosomal RNA (326 nucleotides) under uncultured bacterium. Its description in RNAcentral is "bacterial SSU rRNA". It matches the Rfam family "Bacterial small subunit ribosomal RNA", at positions 32 to 342 of the family's 1533-position model. The record is from RNAcentral.
AAUCAACGCUGGCGGCGUGCCUAACACAUGCAAGUCGAACGCGAAAAGGGGCAACCCUGAGUAGAGUGGCGUCCGGGUGAGUAACACGUGGAUAAUCUGCCUGCGGGCGGGGAAUAACUUUCCGAAGGGAGGCUAAUACCGCAUAACACCGUAAUAGGGCGAUCCUGAUACGGUCAAAGAAGGGGGAGUCGCAAGACCUCUCGCCUGCAGAGGAGUCCGCGGCCGAUAGCAGUUGGCGAGGUAACGGCUCACCAAGGCAGCGAUCGGUAGCCGGCCUGAGAGGGCGAACGGCCACACUGGCACUGAAAUACGGGCCAGACUCCUAC